CCCCAGCGCCACAAGUGGCAACCGUGUAUUUGGCCUAAAGCGUUCGUAGCUGGCCUGUUGAAUCCUUUGUGAAAUUGUUCGGCUCAACCGAACAGCGUGCAGGGGACACUCACAGGCUCGAGACCGGGAGGAGUUAGAAGUAUGUCCAGGGGAGCGGUAAAAUGUGAUAAUCCUGGAUGGACUACCUGUGGCGAAGGCGUCUAACUAGAACGGAUCUGACAGUGAGGGACGAAAGCUAGGGGAGC
This 245-nucleotide ribosomal RNA is filed under the name uncultured archaeon. RNAcentral describes it as "partial 16S ribosomal RNA". It matches the Rfam family "Archaeal small subunit ribosomal RNA", at positions 474 to 720 of the family's 1478-position model. The record is from RNAcentral.